Molecule: long non-coding RNA, 7490 nt
Filed under: Lactuca sativa (garden lettuce)
Lineage: Eukaryota; Viridiplantae; Streptophyta; Magnoliopsida; Asterales; Asteraceae
Description: long non-coding RNA (LSAT_LNC005459)
Source: RNAcentral
ACAUCUAUUAAGCAAACGUUUUACAUAGAACCUAACUUACUUAUCAAAUAGAGACAUGUUGAUACAAAAAUUAAGUUUGUUGCGUUUAAAUGAUGUUAUAUGCUAAUUUCACAAACCGGUGAUGGUUCGUAGUCAUACAUCAUAACGAAAUUUAUCAAUAGUUACUUGUUUUAUAUUUCACAAUAACUUAUUUAAAUAAAAGAGGUUAAAUUCCUUCAACCAUUCUUAAUAAAAUACUCAUAUUGCUUAAUAAUCAAAAGAUAGCAUCGUACGAUCGUUCCUAUUUUUACCAAUUGUUACAUUCUCCCCCCGUUAAAAGAAUUUCGCCCCGAAAUUCAACUUGUAGACGGGAUAUCACUAAACAAUUGGGGGUGUUUCUUUUUUUUUUUUUUUUUUUUUUUUUUUUUGAUUCGCGCGUUCCCUAGUGAAUUCAGGUCCUCGCUUGGCGUUCCAACGGGCCUUCACUAUGGGUAUGCGGCUUUGUUUCGUCCUUUUGACCUCCUGAUCCAUGAUUUCCACCGGUUCUUCGAUGAAGUUUAGACUCCCGUUGAUUUCAAUUUCAUCCAGUGGAAUAACAAGAGUCUCAUCAGACAAGAUCUUCUUCCGAUCCUGGGAUGCCUUCAAUCAUUCACGGGUUUGAACAAUCUUCUCUGUAGUUUCUCGUAUGAUCUGGGGGCUGGUGAAAGUGUUGUUAGGAACUUGCCUGUUAGCUAUUUGUGUGUCACCUACCUCAUCCCAUCAAAGAGGUGAUCUACACUUGCUUCUGCAGAGAGCUUCGAAUGACGUGACCUUGAUGUUAAUGUAAUAGUUGAUGUUGUAUAAGGAUUCGAUGAAUGGUUCUUCCUCUUUGUCUUUCAGUUUGAGGGUGAUAAAAAGGACUUCUUUAACGACUAUUAAAAACACGAGGCGAAUCGCCUGUCCCUUAUCCAAAAUGAUAGAUAGUGGUAUACUAUGCAGUCUCGCAAUUUUCUUUGUAUAUGCUCCUGUUAGCUUUUCUAUUUUUCUUUGUAUCCUUGGUCGGUAGAAAGUGUGUGGGUUUGGUUGAUUUGUCUACGAUCGCUCAAGUGGUAGCAUGUCCAUCCACUGUCCUGGGUAACUUGUCAUGGAGUUCAUGGUAUGACUCAUAACUGAUUCAUCUAUCAUCUCUUUGUGUUUAUAAGUCGUAUAUAAUUAAGAUUGAAAAGACAGUCGAAUCGGUGAUUCUAUUCUAAGCCCACAUCCAAACAAGGAAAAGGAUUUAAAGCGGAAUUACCAACCCUAAGUCCGUAGAAUCUUAAUUAUAUAGGGCUCCAAUAUAUACACUUAGUAAUCAUAGAUUCACUAGUAUGGGUCCAUAGUCUCUACUUGAGUGGGGUGAUUAACUUGGGUGAGAUGGCAUUUACCACAACCCUUUUCCGCAACUACUACACUUAGGUUGAUUUUUGAACUCGGGUUACCGUAUGGAUGGUAUUCCCAGGAGAUCUUCUCGGAAUAUAUCGAGAAGGUUACGGGCUUUUUCAACAUCCAUGAUGUCUUUCUCUUCUUGUUUCUUAUCCACAGCACAGGCUAGGACGGCGUGGUGCCUCCUGUGUAGGUACUUCUGAGUCUUGUUGCAAAAGGUGAGUCGGGGGAUUGUGUCCGGUUUGUCGUUAUAGACAACGAGGGUUCUAUUACUCGAUGGGUUUAGGCGAAUGGACUUUUCGUAAUAUAUGAUAUCGGUAUGGUGAGGAAACUAACUAAUACGUUGUUAAAAUGAAAAUGUCGUAAAUUUUUAUUGUGACCGGUUUUAGGAUGAUUUGAAUGAAUUGGUUGAUUUAGUGUUAGAGUGCACCCUAUGUACACGUCUCUAGUGCUUUUGAUUAUUCCAAUUCUACUGUAAAUAUUUCGUUUAAGUUUUUGAGGUUUUUGGUUGAGAAAUUGAUUAAAUCUACGACUCACAAUACUCCUCUCCGCGUUGCUAUUAUAUAGUAUCCAUGCAUAUGUGCUAUCGGGAAUGAACGUACCGGAAUCUCAGCGGGGUCUAUUACUGCUUUCCCACGCUCUGUUGCUAAAACACUUCCGAUGCUCUUGACAUCUUUGUUUUUAGUCUCCGGGAACUCCUUUAUGAAAUGCCCUACUUCUCCACAUCUGUAGCAAGUCCGACUCAUCCCAGCUUUUGUGUUCUGGUUGGUCUGUUGAGCCGGCACCCUACAGAACUUUGUGGUAUGCCCCUUUUUCAUUAUAGUUCUUGCAAUGCAUUUCCCUGCACUUUCCUUUGUGAUGAAAGCUACACUUGGUGCAUUUUGGCAGGUUUCCAACAUAUGGUCUUGUUGGCACUGAGGUAGUAGGGAUGGUGGUGGUAUGGAAUGUCACUGUUUGUUGUACAAGUUGAGGUAUCGUGGAUUGGUGAAUAAUAAAAUCCAACCACUGAAAGAGACUUGGAAAUGUCUCCGUAUCUAACUUGCUAUGGUCCAAUGACUUAACUAAAGCAGGUUUCAGAUAGACUCCAAUGAGAGUAUGAUAAGAGUACUUGAAUGAUGGAAAUGACACAAAAGUUAGCCGGCGGUCAAUAUCUUGGAUAUUUACGGCGUAAAGGUUCAGGAAAAUGGCCUUGUAAAGGUCUUACAUCAUAUACACAGGAGAUAGUUCCUGACAGUAUAAAGACCUAACUAAAGUACUUACGGUACAAGAUAAUUUCAUAGAAAAUGCCACAUCAGGCAUAGACAGAAGAAUACGAUUCCUCUUUUUGUAAGGGAAAUAAAGUAAAGCGUCUACUACUGGUGACGGUAAUUCCUCUGGUGAAUUCUUAGUUCAACCAAUUGACGUUCCAUGUCAAGUAGGUGUCUCUAUUACACCCUCUGGCGUACUUGGAGCUCUAUGACUUUGGCUCGGGUUUUCAGCUAGUGUUUGCAGCAGGUUCUCAUGGUUUCUUUCUGAUCUCUUGUGAGCAUCUUCUAGAUGAGUGGUGUGGAGGGUAUUCAUUCUUGCAUCGGUGACAACUUCGGCAAUCUGAUGUUGGGCUGUCCUGCCUUGAAUCUCAUUUUGGGCCACUCUGCGGACCAUGAUUGGCAAGAUUCUACCUGCUGAGCCCCCAUUGCUCAGGUCGUAAAAGUUUCGGUCGCCAAUAAAUGGCAUGGGCUGAUCUUGUUCUUGGCUUCAUGUUUCCAAGCAUUCCACCGAAUCAGGCGUCGGGCCAUGAAGAGCUGGACGAGGGUUAGGAAUUGGAAAGGGAGUUGCUCGAGGUAGGUUCUCAACCUCUAGUUCGGAAUUAGCAUCGGCUGAAAGGUUUUCAUCAUGAUGAUCAUCCAAAGGGAUAGGAUGAUCAUUCUCUGGUUCUUCUCCAAACCAACCAGCUAUGACUUCAUUCGGAAGAUACUGGUUGUCAAGGGGAUGGAGCCCAACUAUGAUUUCUAUGCGAGAAUUUAGGGUAAGUGGAUAAUUAUUAGACGAACUAUCUAGAUAAUUAUUUAGAAAACCCUCAUUAGUUACAUCACUAUUUGUGAAGUGCAUACCAGCUAUGUGUAAUCUAAACAGGAUAGACCUUCGAAUAAGUGACCUUAUUUCCAAAUUCACACAGAAUAGGGGUAAGGCAAAAUUAUCACUGAUUCUAAGUCUAUAACAUCCUAAUUACAUGUAGCCUUAGUGUAUCCACUUAGCAACUAUCAACUUAGUAAUGAGGAUCCCGUUUUAAUUCUCAAGUAUAAAGUACUUAUAGUAACACCAAAUACUCCUAUAGUAUUUUAAUUUUUAUGUUAUGUUCUAUUGUUCUCAUUGUGGUAGGGUUGGUAAGAUUUUAGCAUUGUUGCGACUACACACUUAAACUUAGGCACAUGCUAGUCAACCCUCGGAUAAUAUAGGCGAUCAGGCUAUAUCUUCCCAGUUUUGACCAUAUGUCUCUAAGCCCACUUGUGUUGCCCAACAAUCGUAAUUCUUUUGUACUGUCCUAGUGACACUGAUUUUAGUAUGAAUGCAGCACGUAUACUUACUUAAAUAUUUUAUUAUUUAAAGUAUAAACUCUAAAUCAGAGUAUUUUUAAUCCCAUUGUAUUUAUAGUUAGUAUAUCUUUUAUGGGUUGAUAUACUCAAUUCACUAUAAACAAUGCUCUGAUACCAAUCUGUCACACCCCAAAACCAAGAACGGCGGAAACGUUCUGGGGCGGAGGACGUCAUGUAUGCAUCACAACAAAUGUAAAGUAGUAAACAAGCAACAACAUCAUCCAUUGCAUCAAUAGUAUAAUUUUAGUUACAAGUGUUUUCUUUCAUUGUACAAGAUAUGAUAAUAACUUAUCAAAAAAAAAAAAAAAACGAGUCUUGACUGCUCCGUCUUCUCUGAACCUUGUAUCGACACCUGUCUAUUUGUAACCUGAGAAUACAAGUUAUUUUGAAAGAGUAGAUCAGCAUUUAAGCUGGUGAGUUCAUAAGUAUUUAAUGUCAUUGCUUUGAUUAGUUGAUAUGAAAGACUGGUAAAUGAAUGAUGAAACAUUUAGUAUAAGUACGAAAAGCUCUAGAAAAUCCCAUAUUUCCUACUAGUAUAAAAGUAGUCUUCUACCAAGACUCGAAUGUUUUGAAAGUAGUCUUUUACCUAGACCUGACUGUUUUGAAAGUACGCAUCUCUUGAAAAUGUGAUGGUUUUUCCUUGUUUAACUCUUAUUAGUAGUCUCUUAAGUAUACCUGAAAUGGUAUCAACUUAGAACAUCCGUAGACUGUUCAUUUACCUCUGUUGCUAACAGCCGGGUUUAGGAAUAGUUAGUCCCUUCUGUAUACCCACGAUGGUAUCAACCUAGAACAUCCGUAGAUUGUUCAUUUACCUCUGUAGCUAGCAGUGGUUAUCGGAAUGGUUAGUCCCUCAAAGUAUGAUGUGGUACUAGGAGAUAAAGUCCCAGUCUACCUCGUCGAUGAUGUGAUUGAAUCACAAGGUAAAGAUAGAAAGGCGAACAAUAUAACCGUAUCUAGACAUAUAACAUGUAAUAUUAAAUUGCCAUAUGAUGUCUAUGUAAAAGUAUUCAUGUACAAGUAUUCAUGUAUAAGUAUUCAGGUAAGAGUAUUCCUUCAUAUAACAUGUAGUAGUAAUUUGCCAUAUAAUGUUUAUGUAAAAGUAUUCAUGUAUAAGUAUUCAUGUAAAAGUAUUCCUUCAUAUAACAUGUAGUCUGGACUCAUGAAUGAACUGACUCUGGUGUAAUUUCUUGUAGUAGUGAAAAUGUUUUGUUUACUCUAAACUAUUCCUAUAAUAGUUUACUAGAAUGUAAUUGAUGAGUGUCCAAGUAGGUUUAUACACCUUUGCUACCCAGGAGUAUCGAAACUAAAUUAACUGGUGGAACAUUUAUGACCAUAUAUGUAUACAUGAUAUAUAACUAAUAUUUAAACGACCUUCGGAGGAGUACCCGAUAUCCCACCAGACCACAUCCAAAUCGAGGAAAAGGAAACAGGGUGGAUAGCCUUUCUAAGUCUUUUAAACAUUUCUUAUAUAACUAUACAUAUAGAGGCAUGCAAUUUAUAAUAUAAAAGCAUAAAGAAGUUUUGUAAACAAAACAUAUAUAUGUAUAUGGUUAUAUAUAUGUAUAAAUUUUAAAAGAUGAUUUGGUAUGUUUCGUAAUUGUUGUUCAUAUUCUUACGUUUUUAUUAGAAACUUUGCAUGAAAUAAUCCUUAAGUUUGAUACUAAAGACCUUUUUGUACUUAUCACUUUUGUAAAAAUGGUAAUUAAACAUAUUUAAAUGAUUGUGUUUUAACUUCCUUAAUGUAUAAACAUUGCUAAAAAAUGUUAGAAGGUGUUAAUAAAUGUAUAAACCACUUUUGACAGUUUUGCCCUUUACUGUCCCUGUUUUUAGAAAACUCAUAGAAAAAUCCUCGUAAGUCAAAAACUGAAUCCGUCACCUCUGAGAGUUUAUAAAAUGAGUCUACUUUGUUCCUAAUUUUUAUUAUGAUUUUUAGUGGUCUCAAACUAGUGUGAAAAUGAACAUCUUCACAGACUGGUCCGAAAUCACUUCUGAAAUGACAGGCAGUUUUAUAAAAAUCGCCAUAAAUUGUAGAAAAAUCGUAUGAACGCGUGCGAGUAGUCAUUAGAAAGGUAUAAACUUGAACUAUUUGCAUAUUGUACAGUUUUGAAAGAUAUUAAGUUUAAGAUGGUCAAAACAGUCCGUGAACAGGACUCAACUUUUCUGUAGAAAGCUGUCAUUUAAAUUUAAGUUAUGUUUAGUGUUCUAACUUGUAUUCCCCCCCUUAAAACUUGAAUAAAACAUGAAAAUGUAGGGGUAUGAACUCACCUUAUGUGAAUACUUGAAGAAUGGAAAGUUGAAGAUGAACUUUUGGUUGUUGGUUUGAUGCUCCAAAACAGCCACUCUUUUGGCUAUGUUGCUGUCACGAAAAUUUCACAGCAAAAGUGCAAGAAAAAGGGUAGUUUACUCACUGUUUUGAAUCAAUAAUUUUGAGUAUCAAAACAAGUAACUUCCAGGGGUAUUUGGUGGUAAAAAUAUCAAGCAAAAGGAAGGUGUAGAUGGGUGAAAUGGUGGCUGAAACACAAAAGGGACAGCAACCCUUUAGUUCAUGGUUUUGAUGGCUUUGGAAGGAAGUUCUUGUGCUUGAAAAUGAGAUGAAGGUUGAGAGUAAUUACUUGGAGUAUUGGCUGGUCAAAUGAGGGUAAAAUGAAGAGGAAAUUUCGUGGUUAUGAAGGAGGAAAGGGUGGAAGAGGAUAAGGGGACAAAACCUAGACUAGCUUGUGAUGGGAUGUGAGUUUAAGUGAUGUGAUCUUGUCUAGCCACUUGCUUGGGUGGUUGUUUAGAGAUAGAGUUAGUUAACUAACUAACUACUAGUUAUUUAGUUAGUUAGGAGUUCUAGUUAAGGAGAGGGAAGGUCUUAAUCUCGAAAAUUAGAAGAGGGAUUAAUAAGCAUUCUUAGUAAAAUGUCUUAAGUGAUUAAGCACUUAUUAGUUAAGUUGGCACUUAUCUCCACCAAUUCUCUUAUCUUAAUUGAUUUAGACAUCAUAAAACUUACAUGAAAUCAUUUUAAUUCAUGACUUAUAACUAGUCAUUCACUAGAUAAUAAUACAUAUAUACAAAUACAUACAUGUAUACUUAGUAUAAAAUAACAAUGUAGUUUUUGUGUAUUUGAACUUUAAUGUUUAUGUUUUAUUCUUUUUAUUCAAAAACACUUAAAUACAUUUUAAUUAUACCUUAUAAUAAUUCAUUUUAUAUUUUAAUUUAUUUAAAUAUAAAAUUUAUUGAGCAAUGUAUAAUUUCGUGACAUUUAACCGGUUAACCAUAUCGUUAAACACGUUUUGUCACUUUGGUUCGUAUAUUUGUCAAAUUUAGAUCCUUCACAUCUAUUAAGCAAACGUUUUACAUAGAACCUAACUUACUUAUCAAAUAGAGACAUGUUGAUACAAAAAUUAAGUUUGUUGCGUUUAAAUGAUGUUAUAUGCUAAUUUCACAAACCGGUGAUGGUUUGUAGCCAUACAUCAUAACGAAAUUUAUCAAUAGCUACUUGUUUUAUAUUUCACAAUAACUUAUUUAAAUAAAAGAGGUUAAAUUCCUUCAACC